UCGAACGAAGCACUUUAUUUGAUUUCCUUCGGGACUGAUUAUUUUGUGCCUUAGUGGCGGACGGGUGAGUAACGCGUGGGUAACCUGCCUUGUACAGGGGGAUAACAGUUGGAAACGGCUGCUAAUACCGCAUAAGCGCACAGCAUCGCAUGAUGCAGUGUGAAAAACUCCGGUGGUAUAAGAUGGACCCGCGUUGGAUUAGCUAGUUGGUGAGGUAACGGCCCACCAAGGCGACGAUCCAUAGCCGACCUGAGAGGGUGACCGGCCACAUUGGGACUGAGACACGGCCCAAACUCCUACGGGAGGCAGCAGUGGGGAAUAUUGCACAAUGGGCGAAAGCCUGAUGCAGCGACGCCGCGUGAGCGAAGAAGUAUUUCGGUAUGUAAAGCUCUAUCAGCAGGGAAGAUAAUGACGGUACCUGACUAAGAAGCACCGGCUAAAUACGUGCCAGCAGCCGCGGUAAUACGUAUGGUGCAAGCGUUAUCCGGAUUUACUGGGUGUAAAGGGAGCGCAGGCGGUGCGGCAAGUCUGAUGUGAAAGCCCGGGGCUCAACCCCGGUACUGCAUUGGAAACUGUCGUACUAGAGUGUCGGAGGGGUAAGCGGAAUUCCUAGUGUAGCGGUGAAAUGCGUAGAUAUUAGGAGGAACACCAGUGGCGAAGGCGGCUUACUGGACGAUAACUGACGCUGAGGCUCGAAAGCGUGNGGAGCAAACAGGAUUAGAUACCCUGGUANUCCACGCCGUAAACGAUGAAUACUAGGUGUAGGAGGUAUCGACCCCUCCUGUGCCGGAGU
RNAcentral lists this ribosomal RNA (793 nucleotides) under uncultured bacterium. Its description in RNAcentral is "bacterial SSU rRNA". It matches the Rfam family "Bacterial small subunit ribosomal RNA", at positions 62 to 852 of the family's 1533-position model. The record is from RNAcentral.